UGGGGAAUAUUGGACAAUGGGGGCAACCCUGAUCCAGCAAUGCCGCGUGUGUGAAGAAGGUCUUCGGAUUGUAAAGCACUUUCGACGGGGACGAUGAUGACGGUACCCGUAGAAGAAGCCCCGGCUAACUUCGUGCCAGCAGCCGCGGUAAUACGAAGGGGGCUAGCGUUGCUCGGAAUGACUGGGCGUAAAGGGCGUGUAGGCGGUUUGUACAGUCAGAUGUGAAAUCCCCGGGCUUAACCUGGGAGCUGCAUUUGAUACGUACAGACUAGAGUGUGAGAGAGGGUUGUGGAAUUCCCAGUGUAGAGGUGAAAUUCGUAGAUAUUGGGAAGAACACCGGUGGCGAAGGCGGCAACCUGGCUCAUUACUGACGCUGAGGCGCGAAAGCGUGGGGAGCAAACAGGAUUAGAUACCCUGGUAGUCCACGCUGUAAACGAUGUGUGCUAGAUGUUAGGUGACUUUGUCAUUCAGUGUCGCAGUUAACGCGUUAAGCACACCGCCUGGGGAGUACGGCCGCAAGGUUGAAAC
RNAcentral lists this ribosomal RNA (528 nucleotides) under uncultured bacterium. RNAcentral's name for it is "partial 16S ribosomal RNA". It matches the Rfam family "Bacterial small subunit ribosomal RNA", at positions 355 to 900 of the family's 1533-position model. The record is from RNAcentral.